GACAGAGGAUGCAAGCGUUAUCCGGAAUGAUUGGGCGUAAAGCGUCUGUAGGUGGCUUUUUAAGUCCGCCGUCAAAUCCCAGGGCUCAACCCUGGACAGGCGGUGGAAACUACCAAGCUGGAGUACGGUAGGGGCAGAGGGGGGUAGAAUUCCACGUGUAGCAGUGAAAUGCGUAGAGAUGUGGAGGAACACCGAUGGCGAAGGCAGCCCCCUGGGUCAAGAUUGACGCUCAUGCACGAAAGCGUGGGGAGCAAACAGG
This 259-nucleotide ribosomal RNA is filed under the name uncultured bacterium. RNAcentral describes it as "partial 16S ribosomal RNA". It matches the Rfam family "Bacterial small subunit ribosomal RNA", at positions 524 to 776 of the family's 1533-position model. The record is from RNAcentral.